This 80-nucleotide microRNA precursor is filed under the name Mesocricetus auratus (golden hamster). Its description in RNAcentral is "mir-1301 microRNA precursor family". It matches the Rfam family "mir-1301 microRNA precursor family". The record is from Rfam by way of RNAcentral. Lineage: Eukaryota; Metazoa; Chordata; Mammalia; Rodentia; Cricetidae.
AGAUCGUGGGUGGUCACUCUAGGCACUGAGGCAUAGUGCUGGGGAUGUUGCAGCUGCCUGGCAGUGACUUCUCACAGUCC